AAUCAAGGCGCCAUUUUUAAAGUAUUCUCAUAGCCCCUGACGCGGGUAGGACGCGUAGUGCUGAGCUUGGCCCCAUUUCACAGAGGAGGGGACUCUCUGGGUGUCUCCGCGGCAGCAGGAGGGCGCGGCCGAAGCCCCAAGCCCGGUCCUCCGCCGCCACCAACACCUUCCAGCCGGCCGGGUAUCCCCCUGCCGGCUGGGACUUUCGACUUUAUCAGCUCGACAGCAGCAAGCCCUGGGCUUCAGUCACCCCAGGUCCUCAGAACUCCUCGAGACCACCUACGUUUUCCAUUGUCAAGGUCAUCUACCAGCAGGAGCUCUAGACCAUGGAUCAGGGAACCAGGGCUUCCCGUUCCUGUCCUCUGAGCAGCUGUGGGGCAUUCAGCAAGUCACACUGUCCCUUUGGGCCACACAGGGGUUUAAGGAUAUUUCCUCCAAAGCCCCUUUCAGCAGCAAUUCGCGGGGAUCAAACUAGAGCAUUCAGACCAACAAGGACCUACUGUAUAGCACAGGGAACUCUGUUAACGUUACGUGGCAGCCUGGAUGCGAGGGGAAGAAUGGAUAACAUGUAUAUCUAUGGCUGAGUCCCUUCGCUGUUCACCUGAAACUGUCACAGCAUUGUUUAUCGGUUAUACCC
Molecule: long non-coding RNA, 637 nt
Organism: Bos taurus (domestic cattle)
Lineage: Eukaryota; Metazoa; Chordata; Mammalia; Artiodactyla; Bovidae
Source: Ensembl